AUUGAACGCUGGCGGAAUGCUUUACACAUGCAAGUCGAGCGGCAGCGCGGGGCAACCUGGCGGCGAGCGGCGAACGGGUGAGUAACAUAUCGGAACGUACCCCGUCGUGGGGGAUAACUACCCGAAAGGGUGGCUAAUACCGCAUACGACCUGAGGGGGAAAGGGGGGGAUCGCAUGACCUCUCGCGAUGGGAGCGGCCGAUAUCGGAUUAGCUUGUUGGUGAGGUAAAGGCUCACCAAGGCGACGAUCCGUAGCUGGUCUGAGAGGACGACCAGCCACACUGGAACUGAGACACGGUCCAAACUCCUACGGGAGGCAGCAGUGGGGAAUUUUAGACAAUGGGCGAAAGCCUGAUCCAGCCAUGCCGCGUGCAGGAUGAAGGCCUUCGGGUUGUAAACUGCUUUUGUACGGAACGAAAAGGUUUGGCCUAAUAAGCUGAGCUCAUGACGGUACCGUAAGAAUAAGCACCGGCUAACUACGUGCCAGCCGCCGCGGUAA
RNAcentral lists this ribosomal RNA (498 nucleotides) under uncultured bacterium. RNAcentral's name for it is "partial 16S ribosomal RNA". It matches the Rfam family "Bacterial small subunit ribosomal RNA", at positions 29 to 523 of the family's 1533-position model. The record is from RNAcentral.